AUUGAACGCUGGCGGCAUGCCUUACACAUGCAAGUCGAACGGCAGCACGGGUGCUUGCACCUGGUGGCGAGUGGCGAACGGGUGAGUAAUACAUCGGAACGUACCUUAUCGUGGGGGAUAACGCAGCGAAAGUUGCGCUAAUACCGCAUACGCUCUGAGGGGGAAAGCGGGGGACCGUAAGGCCUCGCGCGAUUAGAGCGGCCGAUGUUGGAUUAGCUUGUUGGUAAGGUAAAAGCUCACCAAGGCGAUGAUCAGUAGCUGGCCUGAGAGGGCGAUCAGCCUCACUGGGACUGAGACACGGCCCAGACUCCUACGGGAGGCAGCAGUGGGGAAUUUUGGACAAUGGGGGCAACCCUGAUCCAGCAAUGCCGCGUGAGUGAAGAAGGCCUUCGGGUUGUAAAGCUCUUUUGUCAGGGAAGAAACAGCAGCUCUAACACAGUCUGCGAAUGACGGUACCUGAAGAAUAAGCACCGGCUAACUACGUGCCAGCCGCCGCAGUAA
This 501-nucleotide ribosomal RNA is filed under the name uncultured bacterium. RNAcentral's name for it is "partial 16S ribosomal RNA". It matches the Rfam family "Bacterial small subunit ribosomal RNA", at positions 30 to 523 of the family's 1533-position model. The record is from RNAcentral.